Molecule: small nucleolar RNA, 94 nt
Filed under: Triticum aestivum (bread wheat)
Lineage: Eukaryota; Viridiplantae; Streptophyta; Magnoliopsida; Poales; Poaceae
Also listed under: 1 other name
Description: snoRNA snoZ221_snoR21b
Rfam family: Small nucleolar RNA Z221/R21b
About the family: Z221 is a member of the C/D class of snoRNA which contain the C (UGAUGA) and D (CUGA) box motifs. Most of the members of the box C/D family function in directing site-specific 2'-O-methylation of substrate RNAs.
Source: Rfam by way of RNAcentral
AGGCAUGAUGAGAAAAGUCAUGCACCACUCUGAAGAGAUUUAUCUCUUUGUGCUGAUAAAGAAACUUACAACCCAUUUUACAUCUGUGCCGCCU